RNAcentral lists this unclassified non-coding RNA (2196 nucleotides) under Dendronephthya gigantea. RNAcentral describes it as "uncharacterized LOC114531671, transcript variant X4". The record is from RNAcentral. Lineage: Eukaryota; Metazoa; Cnidaria; Anthozoa; Malacalcyonacea; Nephtheidae.
UUAGAACAUCAUAUUCUAUCAGGUCGGGUCAGAGUGUGAUUUCUGACAGUCGAACAUUGACAGCCAAAGAUGAUAGUUCUGAUGAUGAAAGUGAUGAUGAUAAUGACAAUUUUGGUGAACACACUAUCCAGGCAGACCAGGUUUUGUCGGACUAUUCUCUUGAUGUAUGUCCCCCGGGUUUUGACGUGCCAUUACUGGAUGACUUGCUCAAUGUGACAAUCCGUGAACAUGAUGGAGAUGAGCCCACAGAAGAUGUUGGAACCCAACAACAACAACAGCAGCAACAUAAGACGACUCAACCAGAAUACAUCUCUACUGUGGAAGAAGUCAGUCCUGAAGAUGCAAUCAAGAAGGAAAAGUGUAUUGUGUUUACAGACACUCUUAUAGCUUUGAUAACAUCAUUACAUGGGAGUGUUUGUAAACGACAAGGAUGUGGCCGUGUGUUGAGCUAUAAGAAAACAUAUGUUGGAACAUGCCUGGUCGUAUCCUGGGGGUGUAGGUCUGGUCAUGUUGGAGGCAGAUGGGCAGCUCAACCCUAUUGCAACAAGAUUAGAGCAGGCAACCUUGUGCUUGCUUCUGAUUUGUUGUUGUCUGGCAAUUCCUACACCAAGGUGGGGUUGAGUUCAACUUCUAUUAUCUGCAGUAUUUCUCAUCAAUAUUAUUCAAUCAGUAUCAGAAGUUGUACAUCAUCCCUGCCAUUAAUGACUACUGGGAAGAACACAAACAGAAAUGUUGGAAAGAAAGAGAGAACAAAGAGGUUAUAUUGAGUGGUGAUGGAAGAAAUGACUCGCCUGGCCAUAGUGCACAAUAAUGUACUUACAGCUUGGCUGAUACCAAUGAUCGUGCCAUACUGCAAAUGAAUGUGGUUGAUGUCAGAGAAGCUGCUGGUAAGAGCAAUAAUAUGGAGAGGAUUGGGUUUGAAAGAGGGAUGGACACACUGUUUGCAUCACCAAUAGUUAUGAAGGAGGUGGUAACUGAUGGUCAUAUUGAAAUUGCUGCAUUGAUGAAAAGGGAAGAGAAAUAUAAGGAGGUCACACAUCAGAAUGAUGUGUGGCAUGGAGCAAAGAACAUUGCAAAGAAAAUCACUACUGCUGCUAAAUCUAAAGACAAUGCAGAUUUGACCUUUUGGGCACCAUCAAUAAGGAACCAUUUUUGGUAUUGUUCAAAAACAUGUGCUAAUGACUCAAAAAAUCUCAAAGAUAAAUGGAUUGGUAUUUUACACCAUGUUGUUGAUGAGCAUGAGUGGGUGUUGAAGGAAGGUGUAAAUGGUGGAAAAUGUGAACAUGAUCCUCUUAAUUAAAGUGAGAGAAAGAAGCCAUGGCUUAAGAAAGAGUCUUCUGCCCAUAAAGCACUGGCAAAGAUCAUUCUGGACACUCGCUUUUUAAACACUUUGGUGUAUUAUGUUAACUUCAGAAACCAGCUUGCUGCCUUGGACUUUAACCACCACAGAGGCCGAGCACCAGCAACUACAGCUGAUGGGAAAGAAAGGUACGGUCGGAAGUUCAGUAAGCGUACACAACAGUGGUGCCGUGUUCGUGUUCUUGUACCAAAAGAAUUUAGUUACAUUCCUGAACUGAUGCAGAAGGUUUUUAUAAAGAGGAUCACAUCAAAAGGGAAUGUAAACAAAAGACUUGGUAUUCCAAGUAAUGAUCCUAGACAAAUUGCACCCAAUAUUGCCCCUGUUCCUCCUCCAUCAGUACAGACACUUGUCGACACACAUAAAACAAGAUUUUAAUGGUUGUGUGCAAAAUAAAGUUACUUUGGGUAGGUGGAGCUCAUUAGCCAUGGUAGGCAGUGCAGUUCACCUAACAGAAGGAAAACUCUAAUUUCACACCCCCAGACCCUAGGUCAGGCUGUCCAUGUCAGAAUCAUUGAUGUUAUCAUCAUUUCAUUUGUGUUUCCUAGGCAUGCUGACGAGCUCUGAUAUAGAGCGAAACAACCAUAAAUUUAAGAGCCCAUUAUCAAUGAAAUAUGACACAUAAUAUCUUAAAUGGAAUGUUUUAUUAAAUUAUUAUGAUAUAUGUAUAGGGUGUCCCAAAAAACUAAACACUUUGAAAUUGGAAAAUUAGCAUUUAGGUUGAUGCUAAUCAUGCACAUGGACAAUUACAACAACUAAAUCAGCAUUACAAUGUAUGAAGACUAAAAUGAAAAAUUUACCCAGCUAUAUAUUUUAUUACCUUGCUGGCUCAGACCAAU